ACGCUGGCGGCGUGCCUAAUACAUGCAAGUCGAGCGAAUGGAUUGAGAGCUUGCUCUCAAGAAGUUAGCGGCGGACGGGUGAGUAACACGUGGGUAACCUGCCCAUAAGACUGGGAUAACUCCGGGAAACCGGGGCUAAUACCGGAUAACAUUUUGAACUGCAUGGUUCGAAAUUGAAAGGCGGCUUCGGCUGUCACUUAUGGAUGGACCCGCGUCGCAUUAGCUAGUUGGUGAGGUAACGGCUCACCAAGGCAACGAUGCGUAGCCGACCUGAGAGGGUGAUCGGCCACACUGGGACUGAGACACGGCCCAGACUCCUACGGGAGGCAGCAGUAGGGAAUCUUCCGCAAUGGACGAAAGUCUGACGGAGCAACGCCGCGUGAGUGAUGAAGGCUUUCGGGUCGUAAAACUCUGUUGUUAGGGAAGAACAAGUGUUAGUUGAAUAAGCUGGCACCUUGACGGUACCUAACCAGAAAGCCGCGGCUAACUACGUGCCAGCAGCCGCGGUAAUACGUAGGUGGCAAGCGUUAUCCGGAAUUAUUGGGCGUAAAGCGCGCGCAGGUGGUUUCUUAAGUCUGAUGUGAAAGCCCACGGCUCACCCGUGGAGGGUCAUUGGAAACUGGGAGACUUGAGUGCAGAAGAGGAAAGUGGAAUUCCAUGUGUUCCCGGGA
RNAcentral lists this ribosomal RNA (671 nucleotides) under uncultured Bacillus sp. RNAcentral's name for it is "bacterial SSU rRNA". It matches the Rfam family "Bacterial small subunit ribosomal RNA", at positions 33 to 684 of the family's 1533-position model. The record is from RNAcentral. Lineage: Bacteria; Bacillati; Bacillota; Bacilli; Caryophanales; Bacillaceae.